AACGAACGCUGGCGGCAUGCCUAACACAUGCAAGUCGAACGAUCCCUUCGGGGAUAGUGGCGCACGGGUGUGUAACGCGUGGGAACCUGCCCUUAGGUUCGGAAUAACUCAGAGAAAUUUGAGCUAAUACCGGAUAAUGUCUUCGGACCAAAGAUUUAUCGCCUUUGGAUGGGCCCGCGUUGGAUUAGCUAGUUGGUGGGGUAAAGGCCUACCAAGGCGACGAUCCAUAGCUGGUCUGAGAGGAUGAUCAGCCACACUGGGACUGAGACACGGCCCAGACUCCUACGGGAGGCAGCAGUGGGGAAUAUUGGACAAUGGGCGAAAGCCUGAUCCAGCAAUGCCGCGUGAGUUAUGAAGGCCUUAGGGUUGUAAAGCUCUUUUACCCGGGAUGAUAAUGACAGUACCGGGAGAAUAAGCCCCGGCUAACUCCGUG
RNAcentral lists this ribosomal RNA (433 nucleotides) under uncultured bacterium. Its description in RNAcentral is "partial 16S ribosomal RNA". It matches the Rfam family "Bacterial small subunit ribosomal RNA", at positions 29 to 507 of the family's 1533-position model. The record is from RNAcentral.